RNAcentral lists this transfer RNA (75 nucleotides) under SAR202 cluster bacterium. RNAcentral's name for it is "tRNA-Phe". It matches the Rfam family "tRNA". From Rfam's summary of the family: Transfer RNA (tRNA) molecules are approximately 80 nucleotides in length. Lineage: Bacteria; Bacillati; Chloroflexota; Dehalococcoidia. The record is from RNAcentral.
GCUGGGGUAGCUCAGCGGUAGAGCAACGGACUGAAAAUCCGUGGGCCGCCAGUUCAAAUCUGGCCCCCAGCACCA